UUAAAUAGCUGUAGGCGGGCCUCUGGCGCUCUCUCCGCCUUAGCGCCAUCUUCUUGGAAACCUCUCCGCCAUGAGAGCUAAGUGGAGGAAGAAGCGAAUGCGCAGGCUGAAGCGUAAAAGAAGAAAGAUGAGGCAGAGGUCCAAGUAAACCGCUAGCUUGUGCACCCAUGGAGCCACAGGAGCAGAAAUAAGGAAAGCCAGAGGCCAGGGACGCUGGUACCAAUUGUUGGACUGCAUGCCUACUUUCUAGAGCUUGAUUCAGUGGAUCUAGAACAUCCAUCGCCAUCUGAUCGCAACGACCACCUUUGAGAGACUCGCCUUGUUCAUAUCAGAAGUCCCUUUUGGUCCGUUGCUCUGGACCUGUGACUUUUCGGGACUAAUUCUGUUUUCAUGUGUGGCUGAAUGUAACAACGUAUACAAUAAAUCUUCUCUUCUGCUGUCUUAGCUGAAGAAAAAAAUGG
Panthera uncia (snow leopard) is the source of this 461-nucleotide long non-coding RNA. RefSeq lists it as uncharacterized. Lineage: Eukaryota; Metazoa; Chordata; Mammalia; Carnivora; Felidae. The transcript has 4 exons. The record is from RefSeq and is a predicted model, not a curated record.